Molecule: ribosomal RNA, 798 nt
Filed under: Brevundimonas sp.
Lineage: Bacteria; Pseudomonadati; Pseudomonadota; Alphaproteobacteria; Caulobacterales; Caulobacteraceae
Description: bacterial SSU rRNA
Rfam family: Bacterial small subunit ribosomal RNA
Source: RNAcentral
GGCUCAGAGCGAACGCUGGCGGCAGGCCUAACACAUGCAAGUCGAACGGACCCUUCGGGGUUAGUGGCGGACGGGUGAGUAACACGUGGGAACGUGCCUUUAGGUUCGGAAUAGCUCCUGGAAACGGGUGGUAAUGCCGAAUGUGCCCUUCGGGGGAAAGAUUUAUCGCCUUUAGAGCGGCCCGCGUCUGAUUAGCUAGUUGGUGGGGUAAUGGCCCACCAAGGCUACGAUCAGUAGCUGGUCUGAGAGGAUGACCAGCCACAUUGGGACUGAGACACGGCCCAAACUCCUACGGGAGGCAGCAGUGGGGAAUCUUGCGCAAUGGGCGAAAGCCUGACGCAGCCAUGCCGCGUGUAUGAUGAAGGUCUUAGGAUUGUAAAAUACUUUCACCGGUGAAGAUAAUGACUGUAGCCGGAGAAGAAGCCCCGGCUAACUUCGUGCCAGCAGCCGCGGUAAUACGAAGGGGGCUAGCGUUGCUCGGAAUUACUGGGCGUAAAGGGAGCGUAGGCGGACAUUUAAGUCAGAGGUGAAAUCCCGGAGCUUAACUUCGGAACUGCCUUUGAUACUGGGUGUCUUGAGUGUGAGAGAGGUAUGUGGAACUCCGAGUGUAGAGGUGAAAUUCGUAGAUAUUCGGAAGAACACCAGUGGCGAAGGCGACAUACUGGCUCAUUACUGACGCUGAGGCUCGAAAGCGUGGGGAGCAAACAGGAUUAGAUACCCUGGUAGUCCACGCCGUAAACGAUGAUUGCUAGUUGUCGGGGAGCUUGCUCUUCGGUGACGCAGCUAACGCAUUAAGCA